UUCAAUGGGGACAAAGGAUGUGGGUGACGCAUAUAAAUUGGAAAUCAUGAUCCAUGAUGAGUUGGCUGUUGCUUUUCUCUGCAGGGUGGUAUACCCAAACCCACUGAACCAGUCUUAUAUUUCUCUACAGGGUGGUAUAAUAACAAAAAGCUUCACGUUCCGCCAUUACAAUGACUCUUCUAUUGAUGAUUUUUUUUAAUGUGUGCAGAAUAAAGAGGUAACUGAAUCUAUUCAGAGAAGUGUUGCUGCCUAUAACUGCAAGAUCGUUGAAGGGUGCAAAAUCAUCAGUUACUAUGAUUGUGGUUGCGGCUGGUUGAAGGGUGCAAGACCUGAAUUGUUGCUUAUGGUUGAUGCUGCAUUGGUGUUAUUGUGUACCAAAUGGUUGUAAGUUGCUGCAAUUAGACAAGUAUGGCUACUGCUUGUACCUGCAAUAGCGAUUGAUAGAGGUGAAUACCUUGUCCUUGACUAGUAGAGUCUAAAGUUCUGCAAGUUCUGUGUCUUGUGACCAAGGAAGCUGGUGCCCAGGUCAUAAUCACUGAAAUUGGUUAUAGAUCUCUUGUAAAUUGAUUUAGUUUUUUCUUUAGGACUUGUAGCACUUUUCUCUAGGACAUAAAUCCUUUUUGUAUGAUAUUGAACUAAAUUUACAAUUUAAUGAAUGUAAUUGACAUUUUAUAUGAAAUGAAUUAUUAUUUGUUUUCAUC
Molecule: long non-coding RNA, 701 nt
Organism: Papaver somniferum (opium poppy)
Lineage: Eukaryota; Viridiplantae; Streptophyta; Magnoliopsida; Ranunculales; Papaveraceae
Exons: 2
Source: RefSeq, a predicted model, not a curated record